ACGCUCGACACCUACAGGCAGCAGUGGGGAAUAUUGCACAAUGGGGGAAACCCUGAUGCAGCGACGCCGCGUGGAGGAAGAAGGUCUUCGGAUUGUAAACUCCUGUUGUUGGGGAAAAAGAGGAUGGUACCCAACAAGGAAGUGACGGCUAACUACGUGGCAGCAGCCGCGGUAAUCUGAGCGGGCUGGCAAGGC
RNAcentral lists this ribosomal RNA (195 nucleotides) under uncultured bacterium. RNAcentral describes it as "partial 16S ribosomal RNA". It matches the Rfam family "Bacterial small subunit ribosomal RNA", at positions 326 to 539 of the family's 1533-position model. The record is from RNAcentral.